CACAAAACAAUGGAAAAACUUUCAAAAACAACAGAGCAAAAAUGUUUUCAUGUUCACACAGCUAAAAUGGCGGACAUGGCAGACGACGGUAGCGUUGAAUCCAAUCCAGUUUCAAUCCAACAAAACAAAAGAUUGUUAAAACCUCAUAUUAUGUGCAUUUUAUAGGCAUCCUGGAAUAUUUACGUACACUCUCACAAUGAACGAUGGGUUUGAUUUUUAAGUAAGGGGACUUUAAUUCACUUCCGGAAAUUUUCCGGAAAUGUUCAGAAAUUAUGAAUAACUCCUAAUAUAAAGAACACAACAAAACGAAUCAGACAUUUGCUGGACAUUCGUAAUUCCUGAAAAAUUUGGGGCUGGAACGAAUUAUUUUUUUGCCAAAUAAAGCCAGAACGAGCAAUCUAUUGACACAUGAUCUGUACCCCAAGUUGUGUGAGGAUCCCGAAAAUAUGAUUCUUUUUUUCAGAGACUCGUUGGUCUACCAUGUACGUAAGUCAUCUUGCUCAGAGAUUGAAUAAGAACUUUGUACAAUUUGUUGGCUUUAAUUGUGGGCCAUAGACGGAAUGCAAUUCCAGCAUUGUGUGAUAUUACAUUGAAAACAAGAGAGGUUACCAAAGCACGAUGUGAAUGCAAUUUCAUUGCAAAUGGAAAAGGCCCAGCCCUUUUGGCUAGCUGUAGAAUUCUGGAACUGAUCUUAUUUUCACGCUCCACCAUCUUUCAGAAUACUGCUUUUGCUAUUUCGAGAAUAGCCCAUAGUAUCGUGCUAUUAAGAUUUCAAUGUUUGUCACUGUUCGAAGGCGUCAUUGAUCGAUGAAAACCGUUGGACGGACACCAAAAACGUAAUCACCAAACGUUCUUUUAUCAAUGGCCAAGCUUUCAAGGUCAGCGAAUUGAAAACGCUUACAUGAAACGCUGUUUGAGUUCAAACCAUCUGCUUGGAUUAAUGAUGGAAGACGUAAAGGAAAAGCCAAUUUUCGGACCGGAGGCAAGAAGUAUUUUUACUAAAGUCUCGUUGUUAGCUGAAAUAACUACCAAGCAGUUGAGUUCGGUACAGUGUGAACAGUUCCAGCAUCCAGAAAUCCAUUUCGGAAUUGAUCCAACGCGACGGGCGUUGGAAGGCGAGGAAGAGAGGUGGCGAAUUAUUUAUCAGUUGUGCUGUUCUACAUUAAACGUGUUUCUUGGGUUGCAACGAGAGUCGCAAAGCUAGAUCUUACCCUGCUAUUUGCCUACUGCUGUAACUGGGCGUUGAUCCGAACGCUGUAGACGGUCACGGUAAUACUCGUCUCCAUUUACUAGCUAAGAAUACGAACGUCCCUCCAUUUUACCUCUCUGCUAGAAUGCUGCUGGAGUGUGGAACUCAUCCUGAUAAACAAAAUCAUUUCAGUGAAACUGUUAUACUCAUUAAAGGCAGACAGAAACCAUUUACCCGAACUGAUCGCUUUCUUUCAUCUGUAACGAAUGUAGUUCUUCCCUUAAGAUGUUUGGCUUCUCAAGCAGUCAGCCAAAAUUGGACCAUUUUUGACGAACGGACACUUCCGUUAGCUCUCCUUUCCAUCGUCCAUCUGCAUUAAAAUUAAUUUAAGCAUUUCAAACUUUGAAAGUCGUCUACGUAUAGUCUACUGUUAAAACGAGACGUAUAUUUUCUCUCUGCUCUUCCAUACCCUUUAAAAUAAAACUUGUGUGGAAGAUAAA
Molecule: long non-coding RNA, 1689 nt
Organism: Daphnia magna
Lineage: Eukaryota; Metazoa; Arthropoda; Branchiopoda; Diplostraca; Daphniidae
Exons: 2
Source: RefSeq, a predicted model, not a curated record